CCUUCGCGGCUUGUUCCAGGUGCUCUGUGACCUAUGGGUCGACCGAGUGAAACAGGGAAGCCGGUGAGUGAGCGCACUUGUACACAGUGCUGCCGCGAUUCCGGCGCUGCCCCCGCAACGGUAAAUGAGUCAAGACGCUGCCUUUUGCCACUGUAUCGCCAGCGAUAUGGGAAGGCGUAGCGUUGGCCUGCGCGCUCUCUAUACGAGGGCAACGGCGCCACUCAUGAGCCCGGAGACCGGCCUGUUACAUCCAACAGCA
This 259-nucleotide non-coding RNA is filed under the name Spinacia oleracea (spinach). Lineage: Eukaryota; Viridiplantae; Streptophyta; Magnoliopsida; Caryophyllales; Amaranthaceae. The record is from RNAcentral.